CGCGAAUGGCUCAUUACAACAGCCGUUGUUCCCUUGAGACUAUGAAUACUUGGAUAACUGUGGCAAUUCUAGAGCUAAUACAUGCACUGAAGCCCCGACCUUGCGGGAGGGGUGCAUUUAUUAGAACAAAACCAAUCGGGGCAACCCGUCGUUUGGUGAAUGUGAAUAACCCAGCUGAUCGCACGGUCUUUGCACCGGCGACGCAUCUUUCAAGUGUCUGCUUUAUCAACUUUCGAUGGUAGUUUAUGUGACUACCAUGGUUAUAACGGGUAACGGAGAAUCAGGGUUCGACUCUGGAGAGGGAGCCUGAGAAAUGGCUACCACAUCCAAGGAAGGCAGCAGGC
RNAcentral lists this ribosomal RNA (344 nucleotides) under Terschellingia sp. PB-2006. Its description in RNAcentral is "SSU rRNA". It matches the Rfam family "Eukaryotic small subunit ribosomal RNA", at positions 88 to 433 of the family's 1831-position model. The record is from RNAcentral. Lineage: Eukaryota; Metazoa; Nematoda; Chromadorea; Monhysterida; Linhomoeidae.